UGGCGGACGGGUGAGUAACGCGUGGGUAACCUGCCUUACACAGGGGGAUAACACUUAGAAAUAGGUGCUAAUACCGCAUGAGCGCACAGGACCGCAUGGUCGAGUGUGAAAAACUGAGGUGGUGUAAGAUGGACCCGCGUCUGAUUAGCUAGUUGGUGAGGUAACGGCCCACCAAGGCGACGAUCAGUAGCCGGCCUGAGAGGGUGGACGGCCACAUUGGGACCGAGACACGGCCCAAACUCCUACGGGAGGCAGCAG
RNAcentral lists this ribosomal RNA (258 nucleotides) under uncultured bacterium. RNAcentral describes it as "partial 16S ribosomal RNA". It matches the Rfam family "Bacterial small subunit ribosomal RNA", at positions 96 to 354 of the family's 1533-position model. The record is from RNAcentral.